RNAcentral lists this ribosomal RNA (274 nucleotides) under uncultured bacterium. Its description in RNAcentral is "partial 16S ribosomal RNA". It matches the Rfam family "Bacterial small subunit ribosomal RNA", at positions 523 to 796 of the family's 1533-position model. The record is from RNAcentral.
AUACGGAGGGUGCGAGCGUUAAUCGGAAUUACUGGGCGUAAAGGGUCCGUAGGCGGUCUGCUUAGUCUGAUGUGAAAGCCCCGGGCUUAACCUGGGAAUGGCAUUGGAUACUGGCGGACUAGAGUCUGGUAGAGGGUGGUGGAAUUCCCGGUGUAGCGGUGAAAUGCGUAGAUAUCGGGCGGAACACCAGUGGCGCAGGCGGCCACCUGGACCAAGACUGACGCUGAGGGACGAAAGCGUGGGGAGCAAACAGGAUUAGAAACCCCAGUAGUCC